This is a long non-coding RNA of Cryptomeria japonica (Japanese cedar), 2052 nucleotides long. RefSeq lists it as uncharacterized. The record is from RefSeq and is a predicted model, not a curated record. Lineage: Eukaryota; Viridiplantae; Streptophyta; Pinopsida; Cupressales; Cupressaceae. The transcript has 5 exons.
CAUGUCAAUGCUUCUUCGAUGGCAGCGGCUUCAUGCGAGGCGUUCACAGUGUUCAUUAUCAAUGGCGGGAUCACGAGAAGGAAUGGAGGGGUUUUAUUUAACCUACAAAAUCCUGCCAUAUUUUCCCAUCUAGCUAGCAGAGGUAGGAGCUACGGGGAAGCAGGAGCACCGAGAGCAGAGGCAACAAACCAAGCGUUUAUUCAGAACCUCAAGAUUCUGAAGCAUCCGUGAUUCAGAACCUCCAACUGAUGUCAUUUCGUGUACUGGUUUUCUAGCUCCAUAUCGAGGAGUUUAGAGAUCUUCAACAGUUUUCGAUGCCAUAGCCGGCCCAAGGGUCGAAUCAGGCUGUUGGAAGAAGUUCACACAAGAUGAUUGAAGCUGCAAUGCAAUCAACUACAAAGGGAAAGAUCCAAACAAUUAGGCAAGCUUACUUUCCAAGCAUUCUUCAAAUUUUAGGGGUGACUGGAAGAGAAGAUUCUUUGUUCUCGAUGGCUAUGGAAUAUUGUAUUAUUACCGCAAACAAGACUGGGGCAAGCAAAUGAUAUAUUGGAAAGUAUCAACGAGUAUAUCGAUGAUGCUGAAAUGAUGGAUAAAAUGACUACCAAGAGCCGAUGUGAAUUGAAACACUGACCUGUUCACACUGAGGAUUAGAAUCAGACCAUGUAGGUGCCAACUCACAAACAUAAAUGUAUCGUUCAAAAUUUCGGUACAUUCUCUUUGUGUUGCUAGAGAUAGAUAGAUAUUGUAAGGUUUUAUUUAAGAAACACACUUGUUUUAUUUUCAAGGCAACAAAAAGUUGUUCAAUACAAAAACACAAAAUGACUGGCAAUGGUCACAUUCUCAACCAUUAUUUAGACUUAAAACUCACUGCUAAACCAAAGGGUGUUUUGAGACCUAAGAUUCUGAAGGAUAAAAUUAAAACCAAAGGGUGUUUUGAGACCCAAGAUUUUGAAGGAUAAAAUUAUUUUUAAAGGGUGGUAGCUCAAUGGAAGAGUACCUGCUUUACAAGCAGGAGGAUGGUGGUUCAAUUCCAUCAUGCCCUAUCAUAUGUGUAAAUGUGCACCAAUAAUGUUUUUAAUUAAAGUAAACAGGGAUUUGAAAAGGCCAGACCCUUGUAUAGAAAUGAGGUUGAAACCGAGAGCUGUUUAUCCAGAAACAGCAUGGACAACAAUGUGACAGUCCUUUAUUUUAAAGGUUGGUGUGCUCUGGUUGGCUUGUAGUAUGCUUAUUUACUGUAGGGACUGUAGCCAUGGUAAGUUGCCUUGUUUUUCACUUUUCAGAAUUGAGAAUGGUUGAUCUUAUUUCGUAGUAUUUCUUUCUUCAGAAAUUUGCUGUUAAAAAUUAAUGAGAAUUUAGCAAUCUAGCAGCUAGUUGGCUUGGAUUUAUCAUUUUAUGUCAUCUAAUGAUUGGAAUGUCCUUAAAAUCCAAGCAAACAAUACUGAUUUUGACCUCUGCCUGUCAGUCAACAAUUACCUUGAUCACAAGUCUAGUAUAUUUCGCUUCCAUAUUACCAUGCCUGUGUUUAUGCCUUAAGAUUACUAAUUCUUUGAGGUUGAACUCUCAACAGGCCUUACAUUUGCAUACACUGAAAGUGCCAGUUUUCCAUUGCUUCAUAUUCUCACGGGACACUUUACUAUCAAUGGCUUUAAUUUUUCCAGCUAAGAAGAUGUGAUCUGUUUCAAAAUCCCUGGCAUGCUGUUUUCAUCAAAGACUAUAAGCAUUUUGACAAUUAUUGAAGCAAUUUUAAUUUGAUUUUUGUGUUGACAGGGCAUAGGCCUUAAGAAUAUAAGCAAGGGAGAAUAAAUCUAUGAUUCUUUGAUAGCGAUAGACUGUGCUAGUCCUGAGACCAUAGAUAGCAUAUACCAAUCCCUUAUAAGAGAAAGUAGCUAGAUGUGAGAGGGAAUAUGUAUGCAUAUCUUGAGAUUGGUCAAUUGAGCAAGAAGAAUAUUAUUUUGAAGAGGUUGAAUUUCUAUGAUAUGCACAAUCCCAACAUCCAUUCUUUGGUACACUAUUAAACUCUAGAGGUUAACAACAGAGAGAAACCAGUUAUAA